Molecule: ribosomal RNA, 447 nt
Filed under: uncultured bacterium
Lineage: Bacteria
Description: partial 16S ribosomal RNA
Rfam family: Bacterial small subunit ribosomal RNA
Source: RNAcentral
AACGAACGCUGGCGGCAGGCUUAACACAUGCAAGUCGAGCGCCCCGCAAGGGGAGCGGCAGACGGGUGAGUAACGCGUGGGAACGUACCCUUUGCUACGGAAUAGCUCCGGGAAACUGGAAUUAAUACCGUAUGUGCCCUACGGGGGAAAGAUUUAUCGGCAAAGGAUCGGCCCGCGUUGGAUUAGCUAGUUGGUGGGGUAAUGGCCUACCAAGGCGACGAUCCAUAGCUGGUCUGAGAGGAUGAUCAGCCACAUUGGGACUGAGACACGGCCCAAACUCCUACGGGAGGCAGCAGUGGGGAAUAUUGGACAAUGGGCGCAAGCCUGAUCCAGCCAUGCCGCGUGAGUGAUGAAGGCCUUAGGGUUGUAAAGCUCUUUCACCGGAGAAGAUAAUGACGGUAUCCGGAGAAGAAGCCCCGGCUAACUUCGUGCCAGCAGCCGCAGUAA